This 253-nucleotide ribosomal RNA is filed under the name uncultured bacterium. RNAcentral's name for it is "partial 16S ribosomal RNA". It matches the Rfam family "Bacterial small subunit ribosomal RNA", at positions 524 to 776 of the family's 1533-position model. The record is from RNAcentral.
UACGUAGGGGGCAAGCGUUGUCCGGAAUCAUUGGGCGUAAAGCGCGUGUAGGCGGCUUGGUAAGUCCGCUCUGAAAGCCCGGGGCUCAACCCUGGGAUGCCGGUGGAUACUGUCGAGCUCGAGUCCGGAAGAGGCGAGUGGAAUUCCUGGUGUAGCGGUGAAAUGCGCAGAUAUCAGGAGGAACACCAAUGGCGAAGGCAGCUCGCUGGGACGUGACUGACGCUGAGACGCGAAAGCGUGGGGAGCAAACAGG